Molecule: transfer RNA, 74 nt
Filed under: Archangium sp.
Lineage: Bacteria; Pseudomonadati; Myxococcota; Myxococcia; Myxococcales; Archangiaceae
Also listed under: 1 other name
Description: tRNA-Asp
Rfam family: tRNA
About the family: Transfer RNA (tRNA) molecules are approximately 80 nucleotides in length.
Source: RNAcentral
GGGGAGUUAGUUCAGCUGGUUAGAACGUCGGCCUGUCACGCCGAAGGUCAGGGGUUCAAAUCCCCUACUCCUCG